AGAGUUUGAUCCUGGCUCAGGAUGAACGCUAGCGGCAGGCUUAACACAUGCAAGUCGAGGGGUAACGAUGGCUUCGGCCAGGCGACGACCGGCGCACGGGUGAGUAUCGCGUUUGUAACCUACCUUUAACUGGAAGAUAGCCCGAAGAAAUUCGGAUUAAUAUUCCAUAAUACUAUAGUCUGGCAUCAUUUUAUAGUUAAAGCUCCGGCGGUUAAAGAUGGGCAUGCGUAACAUUAGCUAGUUGGUGAGGUAACUGCUCACCAAGGCUACGAUGUUUAGGGGGUCUGAGAGGAUGGUCCCCCACACUGGUACUGAGACACGGACCAGACUCCUACGGGAGGCAGCAGUGAGGAAUAUUGGUCAAUGGGCGAAAGCCUGAACCAGCCAUGCCGCGUGAAGGAUGACGGCCCUAUGGGUUGUAAACUUUCUUUUAUAGCGGGAAGAAACUUCCUCUACGUGUAGGGAAACUGACGGUACCGUACGAAUAAGCAUCGGCUAACUCCGUGCCCAGCAGCCGCGGUAAUACGGAGGAUGCAAGCGUUAUCCGGAUUUAUUGGGUUUAAAGGGUGCGUAGGCGGAAAUUUAAGUCAGUGAUGAAAUCCUGCGGCUCAACCGUAGAACUGUUAUUGAUACUGAAUUUCUUGAAUACAGUUGAGGUAGGCGGAAUGAGUGAUGUAGCGGUGAAAUGCUUAGAUAUUACUCAGAACACCGAUUGCGAARGCAGCUUACUAAACUGAUAUUGACGCUGAGGCACGAAAGCGUGGGGAGCGAACAGGAUUAGAUACCCUGGUAGUCCACGCCGUAAACGAUGAUCACUCGUUGUUGGCAAUACAUCGUCAGCGACUGAGCGAAAGCAUUGAGUGAUCCACCUGGGGAGUACGAUCGCAAGAUUGAAACUCAAAGGAAUUGACGGGGGCCCGCACAAGCGGAGGAACAUGUGGUUUAAUUCGAUGAUACGCGAGGAACCUUACCUGGGCUUAAAUGUAGAGCGACGGACCGGGAAACUGGUCUUUCUUCGGACGAUCUACAAGGUGCUGCAUGGCUGUCGUCAGCUCGUGCCGUGAGGUGUCGGGUUAAGUCCCAUAACGAGCGCAACCCUCAUCAUUAGUUGCCAGCGGAUAAUGCCGGGGACUCUAAUGAAACUGCCGGUGUAAACCGAGAGGAAGGUGGGGAUGACGUCAAGUCAGCACGGCCCUUAUGUCCAGGGCUACACACGUGUUACAAUGGCCAGUACAAAGGGCAGCUACCAUGCGAAUGGAUGCUAAUCUCGAAAACUGGUCUCAGUUCGGAUCGGAGUCUGCAACUCGACUUCGUGAAGUUGGAUUCGCUAGUAAUCGCGCAUCAGCCACGGCGCGGUGAAUACGUUCCCGGGCCUUGUACACACCGCCCGUCAAGCCAUGGAAGCCGGGGGUACCUGAAGUUCGUAACCGCAAGGAGCGACCUAGGGUAAAACUGGUGACUGGGGCUAAGUCGUAACAAGGUA
RNAcentral lists this ribosomal RNA (1483 nucleotides) under uncultured bacterium. Its description in RNAcentral is "bacterial SSU rRNA". It matches the Rfam family "Bacterial small subunit ribosomal RNA". The record is from RNAcentral.